This 1390-nucleotide ribosomal RNA is filed under the name uncultured organism. Its description in RNAcentral is "bacterial SSU rRNA". It matches the Rfam family "Bacterial small subunit ribosomal RNA", at positions 26 to 1373 of the family's 1533-position model. The record is from RNAcentral.
AGAACGAACGCUGGCGGCGUGCCUAACACAUGCAAGUCGAACGAGAAACCUUCGCUUCGGCGAAGAGAGUAAAGUGGCGAACGGGUGAGUAACGCGUGGGUAACCUGCCCCUGAAUUUGGAAUAACCCGCCGAAAGGCGGACUAAUUCCGGAUACAGUCCCCUGAACCUUGGUUUUGGGGAUCAAAGGUGACCUCUUCAUGAAAGUUGCCGUUUGGGGAGGGGCUCGCGUACCAUUAGCUUGUUGGUGGGGUAAUGGCCUACCAAGGCUACGAUGGUUAGCUGGUCUGAGAGGAUGAUCAGCCACACUGGAACUGAAACACGGUCCAGACUCCUACGGGAGGCAGCAGUGAGGAAUCUUGCGCAAUGGGGGAAACCUUGACGCAGCAACGCCGCGUGAGCGAAGAAGGCCUUCGGGUCGUAAAGCUCUGUCAAGCGGGAAAAAACGCUUCAGGUCAAUAGCCUGAUGAAUUGAUGGUACCGCUAAAGGAAGCACCGGCUAACUCCGUGCCAGCAGCCGCGGUAAUACGGAGGGUGCAAGCGUUGUUCGGAAUUACUGGGCGUAAAGGGCGUGCAGGCGGUUUGGCAAGUCAGAUGUGAAAGCCCUGGGCUUAACCCAGGAAGUGCGUCUGAAACUGCCAUACUUGAGUAUGGGAGAGGAGAGUGGAAUUCCCAGUGUAGAGGUGAAAUUCGUAGAUAUUGGGAGGAACACCCGUGGCGAAGGCGGCUCUCUGGACCAAUACUGACGCUGAGACGCGAAAGCGUGGGGAGCAAACAGGAUUAGAUACCCUGGUAGUCCACGCCGUAAACGAUGAGAACUAGGUGUAGCGGGUAUUGACCCCUGCUGUGCCGAAGUUAACGCAUUAAGUUCUCCGCCUGGGGAGUACGGCCGCAAGGCUAAAACUCAAAAGGAAUUGACGGNNGGGCCCGCAACCAAGCGGUGGAGCCCAAUGUGGGUUUAAUUNNCGAACGCAACGCGAAGAACCUUACCUGGGUUUGACAUCCUUUGACCGCCUUGGAAACAAGGUUUUCCCGACUCUGUCGGGACAAAGUGACAGGUGCUGCAUGGCUGUCGUCAGCUCGUGUCGUGAGAUGUUGGGUUAAGUCCCGCAACGAGCGCAACCCUUGUCUUUAGUUGCCAGUAUUCAGUUAGGAACUCUAAAGAGACUGCCUCGGUUAACGGGGAGGAAGGUGGGGAUGACGUCAAGUCCUCAUGGCCUUUAUACCCAGGGCUACACACGUGCUACAAUGGACUGUACAAAGGGUCGCUACUCCGUGAGGAGGCGCUAAUCCCAAAAAGCAGUUCUCAGUUCGGAUUGAAGUCUGCAACUCGACUUCAUGAAGGUGGAAUCGCUAGUAAUCGUGGAUCAGCAUGCCACGGUGAAUACGUUC